Molecule: ribosomal RNA, 2787 nt
Filed under: Shigella flexneri
Lineage: Bacteria; Pseudomonadati; Pseudomonadota; Gammaproteobacteria; Enterobacterales; Enterobacteriaceae
Description: partial 23S ribosomal RNA
Rfam family: Bacterial large subunit ribosomal RNA
Source: RNAcentral
GCGAUAAGCGUCGGUAAGGUGAUAUGAACCGUUAUAACCGGCGAUUUCCGAAUGGGGAAACCCAGUGUGAUUCGUCACACUAUCAUUAACUGAAUCCAUAGGUUAAUGAGGCGAACCGGGGGAACUGAAACAUCUAAGUACCCCGAGGAAAAGAAAUCAACCGAGAUUCCCCCAGUAGCGGCGAGCGAACGGGGAGCAGCCCAGAGCCUGAAUCAGUGUGUGUGUUAGUGGAAGCGUCUGGAAAGGCGUGCGAUACAGGGUGACAGCCCCGUACACAAAAAUGCACAUACUGUGAGCUCGAUGAGUAGGGCGGGACACGUGGUAUCCUGUCUGAAUAUGGGGGGACCAUCCUCCAAGGCUAAAUACUCCUGACUGACCGAUAGUGAACCAGUACCGUGAGGGAAAGGCGAAAAGAACCCCGGCGAGGGGAGUGAAAAAGAACCUGAAACCGUGUACGUACAAGCAGUGGGAGCACGCUUAGGCGUGUGACUGCGUACCUUUUGUAUAAUGGGUCAGCGACUUAUAUUCUGUAGCAAGGUUAACCGAAUAGGGGAGCCGAAGGGAAACCGAGUCUUAACUGGGCGUUAAGUUGCAGGGUAUAGACCCGAAACCCGGUGAUCUAGCCAUGGGCAGGUUGAAGGUUGGGUAACACUAACUGGAGGACCGAACCGACUAAUGUUGAAAAAUUAGCGGAUGACUUGUGGCUGGGGGUGAAAGGCCAAUCAAACCGGGAGAUAGCUGGUUCUCCCCGAAAGCUAUUUAGGUAGCGCCUCGUGAAUUCAUCUCCGGGGGUAGAGCACUGUUUCGGCAAGGGGGUCAUCCCGACUUACCAACCCGAUGCAAACUGCGAAUACCGGAGAAUGUUAUUACGGGAGACACACGGCGGGUGCUAACGUCCGUCGUGAAGAGGGAAACAACCCAGACCGCCAGCUAAGGUCCCAAAGUCAUGGUUAAGUGGGAAACGAUGUGGGAAGGCCCAGACAGCCAGGAUGUUGGCUUAGAAGCAGCCAUCAUUUAAAGAAAGCGUAAUAGCUCACUGGUCGAGUCGGCCUGCGCGGAAGAUGUAACGGGGCUAAACCAUGCACCGAAGCUGCGGCAGCGACGCUUAUGCGUUGUUGGGUAGGGGAGCGUUCUGUAAGCCUGUGAAGGUGUGCUGUGAGGUAUGCUGGAGGUAUCAGAAGUGCGAAUGCUGACAUAAGUAACGAUAAAGCGGGUGAAAAGCCCGCUCGCCGGAAGACCAAGGGUUCCUGUCCAACGUUAAUCGGGGCAGGGUGAGUCGACCCCUAAGGCGAGGCCGAAAGGCGUAGUCGAUGGGAAACAGGUUAAUAUUCCUGUACUUGGUGUUACUGCGAAGGGGGGACGGAGAAGGCUAUGUUGGCCGGGCGACGGUUGUCCCGGUUUAAGCGUGUAGGCUGGUUUUCCAGGCAAAUCCGGAAAAUCAAGGCCGAGGCGUGAUGACGAGGCACUACGGUGCUGAAGCAACAAAUGCCCUGCUUCCAGGAAAAGCCUCUAAGCAUCAGGUAACAUCAAAUCGUACCCCAAACCGACACAGGUGGUCAGGUAGAGAAUACCAAGGCGCUUGAGAGAACUCGGGUGAAGGAACUAGGCAAAAUGGUGCCGUAACUUCGGGAGAAGGCACGCUGAUACGUAGGUGAAGCGACUUGCUCGUGGAGCUGAAAUCAGUCGAAGAUACCAGCUGGCUGCAACUGUUUAUUAAAAACACAGCACUGUGCAAACACGAAAGUGGACGUAUACGGUGUGACGCCUGCCCGGUGCCGGAAGGUUAAUUGAUGGGGUUAGCGCAAGCGAAGCUCUUGAUCGAAGCCCCGGUAAACGGCGGCCGUAACUAUAACGGUCCUAAGGUAGCGAAAUUCCUUGUCGGGUAAGUUCCGACCUGCACGAAUGGCGUAAUGAUGGCCAGGCUGUCUCCACCCGAGACUCAGUGAAAUUGAACUCGCUGUGAAGAUGCAGUGUACCCGCGGCAAGACGGAAAGACCCCGUGAACCUUUACUAUAGCUUGACACUGAACAUUGAGCCUUGAUGUGUAGGAUAGGUGGGAGGCUUUGAAGUGUGGACGCCAGUCUGCAUGGAGCCGACCUUGAAAUACCACCCUUUAAUGUUUGAUGUUCUAACGUGGACCCGUGAUCCGGGUUGCGGACAGUGUCUGGUGGGUAGUUUGACUGGGGCGGUCUCCUCCUAAAGAGUAACGGAGGAGCACGAAGGUUGGCUAAUCCUGGUCGGACAUCAGGAGGUUAGUGCAAUGGCAUAAGCCAGCUUGACUGCGAGCGUGACGGCGCGAGCAGGUGCGAAAGCAGGUCAUAGUGAUCCGGUGGUUCUGAAUGGAAGGGCCAUCGCUCAACGGAUAAAAGGUACUCCGGGGAUAACAGGCUGAUACCGCCCAAGAGUUCAUAUCGACGGCGGUGUUUGGCACCUCGAUGUCGGCUCAUCACAUCCUGGGGCUGAAGUAGGUCCCAAGGGUAUGGCUGUUCGCCAUUUAAAGUGGUACGCGAGCUGGGUUUAGAACGUCGUGAGACAGUUCGGUCCCUAUCUGCCGUGGGCGCUGGAGAACUGAGGGGGGCUGCUCCUAGUACGAGAGGACCGGAGUGGACGCAUCACUGGUGUUCGGGUUGUCAUGCCAAUGGCACUGCCCGGUAGCUAAAUGCGGAAGAGAUAAGUGCUGAAAGCAUCUAAGCACGAAACUUGCCCCGAGAUGAGUUCUCCCUGACCCUUUAAGGGUCCUGAAGGAACGUUGAAGACGACGACGUUGAUAGGCCGGGUGUGUAAGCG